This 828-nucleotide ribosomal RNA is filed under the name Acinetobacter oleivorans. RNAcentral describes it as "bacterial SSU rRNA". It matches the Rfam family "Bacterial small subunit ribosomal RNA", at positions 446 to 1269 of the family's 1533-position model. The record is from RNAcentral. Lineage: Bacteria; Pseudomonadati; Pseudomonadota; Gammaproteobacteria; Moraxellales; Moraxellaceae.
GGUACUGUAGUUAAUACCUAGAGAUAGUGGACGUUACUGGCAGAAUAAGCACCGGCUAACUUUGUGCCAGCAGCCGCGGUAAUACAGAGGGUGCAAGCGUUAAUCGGAUUUACUGGGCGUAAAGCGCGCGUAGGCGGCUAAUUAAGUCAAAUGUGAAAUCCCCGAGCUUAACUUGGGAAUUGCAUUCGAUACUGGUUAGCUAGAGUGUGGGAGAGGAUGGUAGAAUUUCAGGUGUAGCGGUGAAAUGCGUAGAGAUCUGGAGGAAUACCGAUGGCGAAGGCAGCCAUCUGGCCUGACACUGACGCUGAGGUGCGAAAGCAUGGGGAGCAAACAGGAUUAGAUACCCUGGUAGUCCAUGCCGUAAACGAUGUCUACUAGCCGUUGGGGCCUUUGAGGUUUUAGUGGCGCAGCUAACGCGAUAAGUAGACCGCCUGGGGAGUACGGUCGCAAGACUAAAACUCAAAUGAAUUGACGGGGGCCCGCACAAGCGGUGGAGCAUGUGGUUUAAUUCGAUGCAACGCGAAGAACCUUACCUGGCCUUGACAUAGUGAGAACUUUCCAGAGAUGGAUUGGUGCCUUCGGGAACUCACACACAGGUGCUGCAUGGCUGUCGUCAGCUCGUGUCGUGAGAUGUUGGGUUAAGUCCCGCAACGAGCGCAACCCUUUUCCUUAUUUGCCAGCGCGUAAUGUCGGGCACUUUAAGGAUACUGCCAGUGACAAACUGGAGGAAGGCGGGGAUGACGUCAAGUCAUCAUGGCCCUUACGGCCAGGGCUACACACGUGCUACAAUGGUCGGUACAAAGGGUUGCCACCUCGCGAUAGGGUGCU